AGAGAGUUGGAUGAGUGGUUUAAGUCACCUCCCUGCUAAGGAGGCGUAUCAGUAAUGGUACCGAGGGUUCGAAUCCCUUGCUCUCUGCCA
This 90-nucleotide transfer RNA is filed under the name Salmonella enterica subsp. enterica serovar Saintpaul. Its description in RNAcentral is "tRNA-Ser". It matches the Rfam family "tRNA". From Rfam's summary of the family: Transfer RNA (tRNA) molecules are approximately 80 nucleotides in length. Their secondary structure includes four short double-helical elements and three loops (D, anti-codon, and T loops). Further hydrogen bonds mediate the characteristic L-shaped molecular structure. tRNAs have two regions of fundamental functional importance: the anti-codon, which is responsible for specific mRNA codon recognition, and the 3' end, to which the tRNAs corresponding amino acid is attached (by aminoacyl-tRNA synthetases). tRNAs cope with the degeneracy of the genetic code in two manners: having more than one tRNA (with a specific anti-codon) for a particular amino acid; and 'wobble' base-pairing, i.e. permitting non-standard base-pairing at the 3rd anti-codon position. Lineage: Bacteria; Pseudomonadati; Pseudomonadota; Gammaproteobacteria; Enterobacterales; Enterobacteriaceae. The record is from RNAcentral.